This 89-nucleotide microRNA precursor is filed under the name Notamacropus eugenii (tammar wallaby). Its description in RNAcentral is "microRNA 216b (ENSMEUG00000017395.1)". The stretch from base 8 to 83 matches the Rfam family "mir-216 microRNA precursor family". Lineage: Eukaryota; Metazoa; Chordata; Mammalia; Diprotodontia; Macropodidae. The record is from RNAcentral.
GAGUUACAGACUGGGAAAUCUCUGCAGGCAUAUGUGGUGUUGCUACAGUUAUCACACAAUUACCUGUAGAGAUUCUGCAAUCUGACAUC